GAUGAACGCUGGCGGCGUGCCUCAAACAUGCAAGUCGAGCGGGGCUAUGUAAUAUCGCAAGGUAGAACAUAGCCUAGCGGCGAACGGGUGAGUAACACGUGGGUAACCUGCCUGGAAGACAGGGAUAACGAUUCGAAAGGGUCGCUAAUACCUGAUAAUAUCCUUUCAUCGCAUGGUGAUAGGAAGAAAGGGGAAACCCGCUUUCAGAUGGGCCCGCGUCCCAUCAGCUAGUUGGUAAGGUAAAGGCUUACCAAGGCGACGACGGGUAGCCGGUCUGAGAGGAUGUACGGCCACACUGGGACUGAGAUACGGCCCAGACUCCUACGGGAGGCAGCAGUUGGGAAUCUUGGACAAUGGGGGCAACCCUGAUCCAGCCAUGCCGCGUGAGUGAAGAAGGCCUUCGGUGUAAAGCUCUUUCGGUCCGGGAAGAAAGUCGACGCAGGCUAAUACCCUGUGUGGAUGACGGUACCGGAAUAAGAAGCACCGGCUAACUACGUGCCAGCAGACCCGG
RNAcentral lists this ribosomal RNA (511 nucleotides) under uncultured bacterium. RNAcentral describes it as "bacterial SSU rRNA". It matches the Rfam family "Bacterial small subunit ribosomal RNA", at positions 28 to 520 of the family's 1533-position model. The record is from RNAcentral.